UUUUUUUCCUUCUUCUUCUUUUUU
Molecule: small RNA, 24 nt
Filed under: Arabidopsis thaliana (thale cress)
Lineage: Eukaryota; Viridiplantae; Streptophyta; Magnoliopsida; Brassicales; Brassicaceae
Description: ATSL065730
Source: RNAcentral